Molecule: ribosomal RNA, 914 nt
Filed under: Salmonella enterica
Lineage: Bacteria; Pseudomonadati; Pseudomonadota; Gammaproteobacteria; Enterobacterales; Enterobacteriaceae
Description: partial 23S ribosomal RNA
Rfam family: Bacterial large subunit ribosomal RNA
Source: RNAcentral
UGUCUCCACCCGAGACUCAGUGAAAUUGAACUCGCUGUGAAGAUGCAGUGUACCCGCGGCAAGACGGAAAGACCCCGUGAACCUUUACUAUAGCUUGACACUGAACAUUGAGCCUUGAUGUGUAGGAUAGGUGGGAGGCUUUGAAGUGUGGACGCCAGUCUGCAUGGAGCCGGCCUUGAAAUACCACCCUUUAAUGUUUGAUGUUCUAACGUGGACCCGUGAUCCGGGUUGCGGACAGUGUCUGGUGGGUAGUUUGACUGGGGCGGUCUCCUCCUAAAGAGUAACGGAGGAGCACGAAGGUUGGCUAAUCCUGGUCGGACAUCAGGAGGUUAGUGCAAUGGCAUAAGCCAGCUUGACUGCGAGCGUGACGGCGCGAGCAGGUGCGAAAGCAGGUCAUAGUGAUCCGGUGGUUCUGAAUGGAAGGGCCAUCGCUCAACGGAUAAAAGGUACUCCGGGGAUAACAGGCUGAUACCGCCCAAGAGUUCAUAUCGACGGCGGUGUUUGGCACCUCGAUGUCGGCUCAUCACAUCCUGGGGCUGAAGUAGGUCCCAAGGGUAUGGCUGUUCGCCAUUUAAAGUGGUACGCGAGCUGGGUUUAGAACGUCGUGAGACAGUUCGGUCCCUAUCUGCCGUGGGCGCUGGAGAACUGAGGGGGGCUGCUCCUAGUACGAGAGGACCGGAGUGGACGCAUCACUGGUGUUCGGGUUGUCAUGCCAAUGGCACUGCCCGGUAGCUAAAUGCGGAAGAGAUAAGUGCUGAAAGCAUCUAAGCACGAAACUUGCCCCGAGAUGAGUUCUCCCUGAGACUUUAGGUCUCCUGAAGGAACGUUGAAGACGACGACGUUGAUAGGCCGGGUGUGUAAGCGCAGCGAUGCGUUGAGCUAACCGGUACUAAUGAACCGUGAGGCUUAACCUU